CCACCGACAGUGGCAACGAAGACCGUCGAAGAUGGGAAGUGGUUGUUCGGGUGGAGAUGUGAGUGUGUUGGAAGGGAGGAAGAAAAUUAAAAAAAAAAAAAAAAGGGUUGUGGAGUUGGUCUCGUGGGUGGUAGUGUGUGGGUAGGAAGAAAAGAAAUGGAAUAAGCAAAAAAAAAAAAAAAUGGAGGAAAAGAAAUGGGUUGUG
RNAcentral lists this long non-coding RNA (205 nucleotides) under Vitis vinifera (wine grape). RNAcentral's name for it is "long non-coding RNA (VVIN_LNC006560)". The record is from RNAcentral. Lineage: Eukaryota; Viridiplantae; Streptophyta; Magnoliopsida; Vitales; Vitaceae.